This 301-nucleotide ribosomal RNA is filed under the name uncultured bacterium. RNAcentral describes it as "partial 16S ribosomal RNA". It matches the Rfam family "Bacterial small subunit ribosomal RNA", at positions 509 to 809 of the family's 1533-position model. The record is from RNAcentral.
CAGUAGCCACGGUAAUACGAAGGGGGCUAGCGUUGUUCGGAUUUACUGGGCGUAAAGGGCGCGUAGGCGGACUGAUAAGUCAGGGGUGAAAUCCCAAGGCUCAACCUUGGAACUGCCUUUGAUACUGUUUGUCUUGAGUUCGAGAGAGGUAAGUGGAACUGCGAGUGUAGAGGUGAAAUUCGUAGAUAUUCGCAAGAACACCAGUGGCGAAGGCGGCUUACUGGCUCGAAACUGACGCUGAGGCGCGAAAGCGUGGGGAGCAAACAGGAUUAGAUACCCCGGUAGUCCCUGUCUCUUAUAU